This 253-nucleotide ribosomal RNA is filed under the name uncultured bacterium. RNAcentral's name for it is "partial 16S ribosomal RNA". It matches the Rfam family "Bacterial small subunit ribosomal RNA", at positions 524 to 776 of the family's 1533-position model. The record is from RNAcentral.
UACAGAGGUCUCAAGCGUUGUUCGGAUUCAUUGGGCGUAAAGGGCGCGUAGGCGGCGGGGCAAGUCGGGGGUGAAAUCUCAGAGCUCAACUCUGAAACUGCACUCGAUACUGCUCUGCUUGAGGACUGGAGAGGAGACUGGAAUUCACGGUGUAGCAGUGAAAUGCGUAGAUAUCGUGAGGAAGACCAGUGGCGAAGGCGGGUCUCUGGACAGUUCCUGACGCUGAGGCGCGAAGGCCAGGGGAGCAAACGGG